This 253-nucleotide ribosomal RNA is filed under the name uncultured bacterium. Its description in RNAcentral is "partial 16S ribosomal RNA". It matches the Rfam family "Bacterial small subunit ribosomal RNA", at positions 524 to 776 of the family's 1533-position model. The record is from RNAcentral.
UACAGGGGGUGCAAACGUUGCUCGGAAUUAUUGGGCGUAAAGCGCGCGUAGGCGGCUACUUAAGUCGGAUGUGAAAGCCCCUGGCUCAACCGGGGAAGUGCACCCGAAACUGAGUAGCUUGAGUACAAAAGAGGGUCGCGGAAUUCCCGGUGUAGAGGUGAAAUUCGUAGAUAUCGGGAGGAACACCGGUGGCGAAGGCGGCGACCUGGGUUGAUACUGACGCUGAGGCGCGAAAGCGUGGGGAGCAAACAGG